GCCGGCAUAGCUCAGUUGGUAGAGCAACCGCCUUGUAAGCGGUAGGCCGCGUUCGAGUUCGGGCUGCCGGCACCA
Molecule: transfer RNA, 75 nt
Filed under: mine drainage metagenome
Description: tRNA-Thr
Rfam family: tRNA
About the family: Transfer RNA (tRNA) molecules are approximately 80 nucleotides in length. Their secondary structure includes four short double-helical elements and three loops (D, anti-codon, and T loops). Further hydrogen bonds mediate the characteristic L-shaped molecular structure. tRNAs have two regions of fundamental functional importance: the anti-codon, which is responsible for specific mRNA codon recognition, and the 3' end, to which the tRNAs corresponding amino acid is attached (by aminoacyl-tRNA synthetases). tRNAs cope with the degeneracy of the genetic code in two manners: having more than one tRNA (with a specific anti-codon) for a particular amino acid; and 'wobble' base-pairing, i.e. permitting non-standard base-pairing at the 3rd anti-codon position.
Source: RNAcentral